This 250-nucleotide ribosomal RNA is filed under the name uncultured bacterium. RNAcentral's name for it is "partial 16S ribosomal RNA". It matches the Rfam family "Bacterial small subunit ribosomal RNA", at positions 779 to 1028 of the family's 1533-position model. The record is from RNAcentral.
UAGAUACCCUGGUAGUCCACGCCGUAAACGGUGGGUACUAGGUGUGGGUUCCUUUUCACGGGAUCCGUGCCGUAGCUAACGCAUUAAGUACCCCGCCUGGGGAGUACGGCCGCAAGGCUAAAACUCAAAGGAAUUGACGGGGGCCCGCACAAGCGGCGGAGCAUGUGGAUUAAUUCGAUGCAACGCGAAGAACCUUACCUGGGUUUGACAUACACCAGACGCGGCUAGAGAUAGUCGUUCCCUUGUGGUU